Molecule: ribosomal RNA, 471 nt
Filed under: uncultured bacterium
Lineage: Bacteria
Description: partial 16S ribosomal RNA
Rfam family: Bacterial small subunit ribosomal RNA
Source: RNAcentral
GACGAACGCUGGCGGCGUGCUUAACACAUGCAAGUCGAACGAUGAAGCCUAGCUUGCUAGGUGGAUUAGUGGCGAACGGGUGAGUAAUACGUGAGUAACCUACCUUUAACUCUGGGAUAAGCCUGGUAAACUGGGUCUAAUACCGGAUACGACCAAUCUCCGCAUGGGGUGUUGGUGGAAAGCGUUAUGUAGUGGUUAUAGAUGGGCUCACGGCCUACCAGCUUGUUGGUGAGGUAACGGCUCACCAAGGCGACGACGGGUAGCCGGCCUGAGAGGGUGACCGGCCACACUGGGACUGAGACACGGCCCGGACUCCUACGGGAGGCAGCAGUGGGGAAUAUUGCACAAUGGGCGCAAGCCUGAUGCAGCGACGCCGCGUGAGGGAUGACGGCCUUCGGGUUGUAAACCUCUGUUAGCAGGGAAGAAGAGAGAUUGACGGUACCUGCAGAGAAAGCGCCGGCUAACUACGUG